Molecule: long non-coding RNA, 311 nt
Organism: Rhea pennata
Lineage: Eukaryota; Metazoa; Chordata; Aves; Rheiformes; Rheidae
Exons: 3
Source: RefSeq, a predicted model, not a curated record
ACUGAUUUCCAGUACAGAAUCCAGUUUGAGACCUCUACUUGUUGAAUUAGAAGCAGUGCAUUGAUGAGCCUGAGGCUAAUUCAAGUAGCUGGGCCUGAGAUUCUGUGAAAAAACAGAAAAAAACACCCAAUUUGAAAAACUUAAGCUGAUGCUUGGUAUAAAUAGAACAGUAAGGAGCAGAAGAGAUAUUCAUAAGCUGCGCUGUAUUUCUGCAAGUGGGAAAGGAAUGCAUUAAACAAAUACCAUUUCUUAUUAAUAAGAUUGACUGCACCUUUUUCUCAGCUUAGCUUCACAAAUCUUGUAAUUCUGUG